GUGGCUAAUCUGCAUAUGCACAUUAGCUCUAUUACCUAUUAGCGGAUUAAAAAGCUUUAAAACAAAGAGGAAGUAGGAAAAGAACUACAUUUCCCAUCUGCCCUGGCUGUCACAGGCUAAUAGCACCAGCUGCUUUCCAUUGCCCUAAUGAGUGAUUCUACUGCUGCAACGAGACCAAAUGCAACGAAAGUAUUGAUGCUGCAAAAGAAGACGGAUCUUUUGGUAGGCUGGUUAAUGAUGACCACAAGCACCCAAAUGGCAGAAUGCAGAAGACUGAAGUGGAUGGAAGCCCACAUCUUGGUCUGUUUGCUUUAACAGACUUUAAAGAAGGUGAUGAAUUACCUGCAAUUACGGAGGAGGAGACUGGCCUUGGCGUAGCAAGGUAAAACAUCUACUCUGAAUAAGAGGAAGGCUCGGGAAGGAAAUGAGGUCCAUGCAGUGGAGAGACAUAUGAAGACCUUCAUCAUGUCAUGUCGUGUCCCAGGGAAGUUGGCCUGUGAAAACUGCAUUAGAUCUGAGUCUUUAUAUCUUAAAGAUAGAGACUGGCAAAGUGUCAAAUUCUACGUCUAUAACUGCACUGUAGCUUACAAAAGAGAUAUAAACAAAGAUUAAAUAACACUUUGAUAGUAACACUUUACAUCUAUAUUACAGAUACUGUACAUCAUAACAUCUGUAGUAAUGCUUUAAUAAUAAGUUACAUUACAUCUCUAGCCUUUUACUUUGUAAUGAACCGCUGAGCAUUUACUUCAUAAUAAACUAAUCAGGAACAAAUCAGGCAUUUAAAAUAUCCAUUAGGAUCUUUACCUACACCGUUAUAUUGAAUUAGAUCAAAUUGGUUUGGGCCGCCUUCUUCCAGUGGGUCCUUAUGCAGGUGACUGACAAGUUCAUGAGUAAGCCUAUUGGGCAAUAAAAGCUUCAGUGUGCUACCCAUUUACAUGUUUAGGCUGCCUGGAAUCAAAAUUAGCUACCUCAACAUACAUUAUUAAGUUGUUACUGUCACUUUUUAGCUUAGUCAGUUAAGUGGAUAUAGAAUAAAGAAAAAUAUUGUGUUUAUGACAUUUGGUUGUGUGUCUGUGUUUGGCUAGUAUCUUUAUUUUUCUCAAUAUGUUUAACUUUGAGCUGGCUAUAUGUAGUAAGCAGAAGUGUUAUGUCAAACUUAAAUGAGUCCAAGUUCAUUCACGGCACAUGUGAGCUUAGUAGUUGUGCACUGUCUUUUACAGUAAAGAAGCUCAAGACUCAAGUUGUCUUUAUAAUGUUGAAUAGACAGGGUUUUUUCAUCUGACUGACAAUUUUUCACUUGAUUAGAGAUCCAGACCAAUAAACAAAUCCUUCAUGUAGCUAAAAUAUCAAAAGGAUGAGUGUCUUUGUCAUUUUGACUUGCCAAAAUGACUGGGGAUAGUGUUAAUUUGUGAUGCAUGCCUGUGAUAAAUAAGUGAGGUUCAGUACAGCUAGCACCUCUACUUUCUAUUCCACAAAAAAAAUUGUAUACUUUAAAAUGAAACGCUUCUUAGAAUUAUAGCCUCAAAACUAAUAAUAGCACUGGUAACACCUUCCUUAACAAGUUCCUAGGUUUCUCAAAGGGUUCCUCUGUUGGAAAUAGAAAGCUCCAAAGAAAUGUAGUCUGUUAUCUAUUACGUGCAGAUAUUGAAAUUUGUGUAAGAGAGCUUUUUGAUAACCAAACUUUCACUGAUUGCAUAUUUCACAAAUAAGGCUAAGAGUCCUUAGUAUAAACAAUUAAGAACAACUGUUCAAUUUAAUUUCAUGAGAAGCUUAAACCUUCAAAUAGAGAAAAUACACAUCAUAUCUGCUUUACAAACAGCCCUCUAAAUUAGACAUACUUAGUUUGUAAUUUUGUAUAAAGAAUUAUAGAGUUAAAUUGACAACUUUGUUUUUUAAAACCAUGUCCCAUUGUUGUUAUAUAAACGACCUGAUCUGUGUGUAUGCAGAUUAACUAUCUAGUGAUGUCCCCUCUACAACAUGAAAACCAGCUAAUUUGCUGUGUAUGCAAAUUAGGUCCCCAUUAAUGAUGAGUUUAAUGUCCCAUUAAUGUCCACAUUAGGUGUGAAAAAACCAAGCACAGAAAUUUUGAGAUUUAAAUCCAGAAUUUGAGAUGAUAUGUGUUCUCAGGCUUAAAUUAUACAUGCCUGAUUCUUUUCAUAUCUGUAGGACCUCAGGAAAGUGGUGUCCCCACAAUACAUGGGUGGGACUACUGACCCCAGAAUGUUCUAAUUACAAGUGUGUGUGUGUGUGUGUGUGUGUGUGUGUGUGUGUGUGUGUGUGAGAGAGAGAGAGAGAGAGAGAGAGAGAGAGAGAGAGAGAGAGAGAGUGAGUGUUAAAGGUACCGGAGCAGUCUGGCUGUGCAGCUACAGUAAAUGUUAAUAAUAAUAAUAAUAAUAAUAAUAAUAAUAAUAGGACGUUAU
Molecule: long non-coding RNA, 2420 nt
Organism: Ictalurus punctatus (channel catfish)
Lineage: Eukaryota; Metazoa; Chordata; Actinopteri; Siluriformes; Ictaluridae
Exons: 4
Source: RefSeq, a predicted model, not a curated record